UUCCGGUUGAUCCUGCCGGACCUGACUGCUAUCGGAUUGAUACUAAGCCAUGCGAGUCAUUGUAGCAAUACAAGGCAGACGGCUCAGUAACGCGUAGUCAACCUACCCUAUGGACGGGAAUAACCUCGGGAAACUGAGAAUAAUGCCCGAUAGAACAUUAUGCCUGGAAUGGUUUAUGUUCCAAAUGAUUUAUCGCCGUAGGAUGGGACUGCGGCCUAUCAGUUUGUUGGUGAGGUAAUGGCCCACCAAGACUAUUACAGGUACGGGCUCUGAGAGGAGUGGCCCGGAGAUGGGUACUGAGACACGGACCCAGGCCCUAUGGGGCGCAGCAGGCGAGAAAACUUUGCAAUGUGCGAAAGCACGACAAGGUUAAUCCGAGUGGUUUCUGCUAAAGGAACCUUUUGACAGUCCUAGAAACACUGUUGAAUAAGGGGUGGGCAAGUUCUGGUGUCAGCCGCCGCGGUAAAACCAGCACCUCAAGUGGUCAGGAUGAUUAUUGGGCCUAAAGCAUCCGUAGCCGGCUCUGUAAGUUUUCGGUUAAAUCUAUACGCUCAACGUAUAGGCUGCCGGGAAUACUGCAGAGCUAGGGAGUGGGAGAGGUAGACGGUACUCGGUAGGAAGGGGUAAAAUCCUUUGAUCUAUUGAUGACCACCUGUGGCGAAGGCGGUCUACCAGAACACGUCCGACGGUGAGGGAUGAAAGCUGGGGGAGCAAACCGGAUUAGAUACCCGGGUAGUCCCAGCUGUAAACUAUGCAAACUCAGUGAUGCAUUGGCUUGUGGCCAAUGCAGUGCUGCAGGGAAGCCGUUAAGUUUGCCGCCUGGGAAGUACGUACGCAAGUAUGAAACUUAAAGGAAUUGGCGGGGGAGCACCACAAGGGGUGAAGCCUGCGGUUCAAUUGGAGUCAACGCCGGG
RNAcentral lists this ribosomal RNA (914 nucleotides) under uncultured Nitrososphaerota archaeon. Its description in RNAcentral is "bacterial SSU rRNA". It matches the Rfam family "Archaeal small subunit ribosomal RNA", at positions 1 to 922 of the family's 1478-position model. The record is from RNAcentral. Lineage: Archaea; Thermoproteati; Nitrososphaerota.